GAGGGUGUAGCUCAGUGGUAGAGUGCAUGCCUAGCAUGCAUGAGGUACUGGGUUCAAUCCCCAGUACUCCA
This 71-nucleotide transfer RNA is filed under the name Camelus bactrianus (Bactrian camel). It matches the Rfam family "tRNA". From Rfam's summary of the family: Transfer RNA (tRNA) molecules are approximately 80 nucleotides in length. Their secondary structure includes four short double-helical elements and three loops (D, anti-codon, and T loops). Lineage: Eukaryota; Metazoa; Chordata; Mammalia; Artiodactyla; Camelidae. The record is from Rfam by way of RNAcentral. RNAcentral also lists the same sequence under 1 other name.